AUCAUUCAAGUUUCUGCCCUAUCAGCUUUCGAUGGUAGUGUAUUGGACUACCAUGGCAGUAACGGGUAACGGAGAAUUAGGGUUCGGUUCCGGAGAGGGAGCCUGAGAAACGGCUACCACAUCUAAGGAAGGCAGCAGGCGCGUAAAUUACCCAAUGCAGAUUCUGCGAGGUAGUGACAACACAUAACAACCUGGGGCCUCACGGCUUACGGGAUUGCAAUGAGAA
This 226-nucleotide ribosomal RNA is filed under the name Cyclidium sp. GCyc1. RNAcentral describes it as "partial 18S small subunit ribosomal RNA". It matches the Rfam family "Eukaryotic small subunit ribosomal RNA", at positions 294 to 520 of the family's 1831-position model. The record is from RNAcentral. Lineage: Eukaryota; Ciliophora; Oligohymenophorea; Pleuronematida; Cyclidiidae.